Long non-coding RNA from Rhododendron vialii, 4658 nucleotides. RefSeq lists it as uncharacterized. The record is from RefSeq and is a predicted model, not a curated record. Lineage: Eukaryota; Viridiplantae; Streptophyta; Magnoliopsida; Ericales; Ericaceae. The transcript is spliced from 5 exons.
GAGAGUUUUUGUGCCGAGCAACACAGCCCUCGUCGGUGCUCCUCCGAUUCGGGCGGUUUUCCGGGCGGCGGGUCUGGAAACGGAACCCAGCAGUCUCGCCGUCUUCAUCUCCGCUUCCCCCUUUGCUACAGUUGCUCUCUAGGCGUUACGAGCUACUGUAACUCUCGCUUACUCUCCCUAUACGUCUCCAAAACUAAUGCGUUGCCGUUGUCUUCGUUUUCUCCGGCGAAGGUAAGCCCAGUUAUCACCUCCGGCAAAGAUCGUCGUCGUCAAAAAUCGUGGUCGUAGUUGGGUGGGUUCUUCAUCUGGGUGGGUUUCGAUUGGUUGAUUGUUGGGUUUAGUAGUCGUUUGUGGGAGUGGGUUUCGAUUUCUAGGGACUAUUACCAAAUCAGCUAACUCCGAUCUUUAGAAAAACCCCUAUUUAUUUUGAUCGUCAUAGGUUUAAUUUUUCCCAGCUAACUGAACUUAGUGAUAGAUGACUUCACCAUACAUACAUUUACCAUUAUGGGUCAAAUGUCCAGAUAGGCUAGACCAGGGCAAAUGCUGAUCCUGGAAACUUUAAGGUAGCUUUUCUGCAUGGUUAAAUUAGUAUAGCUGGAGUAUGUUCUGAGGGAUGAGCCUAAUGAACGUACAGGUAGCUACGAAUAUACAGAAUAUGAAGCGAAUUACUGAUCAAGGGGACACAAUAGCUUUCAAAUCAGAAGAGUGAACAAAAUAUACCCCAGGAUACCUAAAAAAUUGCAAAUGAGGAGCAUCAUUCUCUUUCCAUUGCUGAAAUGGAAGGUACAUUGAUCACUCAGAAGGUACCUCAAAUCCAAACUUUUCACACGUAUGUGUGAGUGAUGUGGUCGGGGUGUGCCCGAUUGAUGUGCCCGUAACAUUAUUGUUUUUUAAGUAGAAAACUUCUCGUAGUUGUUUGAUAAAACAUCUAAGGGAGAUGUUUGGCAAAAUCAAUUGUAGUUGCGUAUGCACAAAGCAUGUCAUGGAAUGAGGCUUUGGUGUCCCAUGUAGAUUUCAGGAGAUUGUCUAUUGAGUUUAAUGAGUUUAGUUUUGACCGUUUGUGUGUGAAGAAUUGUAAAUUAUUUCUUAUAAAUUGAUGAUUAGUUUAGAUUCUUGGAAAGAGAACUUAUUAUGUUGUGAAUUUUGGGGGGAUCACGCAUGCUAGCACGCAAAAAUCUCGUGCAUGUGAUGUUUGAUGAACAUUUGCUAAGUCGCCUUUGCCCUUCUGUUUUAUCAAAACAUCAAGGGAACAAAAACCCCACCUCUCUUUAUCUUCAGAAACUGCAACCCUUGAAGCAGAAAGUGAACAAAGCCCAACAUCACUUGAUGCCUUAUUACUCGAACUAAUGAUGCCUUAUUACUCGAACUAAACAUCUGCUGAGACUUUUUACAGUGAGCAAUAGCACCCUCAAUGGAGCCUUCCUCAAGCUCUGAGCUUGAACUGGCACUCCUCUUGAGCAACUGCAAAUCAUACAGGGCAUUCAAAUUGAUCGAAAAUGACGAUGACAGAGAAGAAGCACCGGACGAGGAAGAAGAAGACAAAGAAUAUUGGUUACGAAUUUGAGAUAUCUCUAAGCAAGAAUAUUGUUUGUUUACAACUCAUCCCUUUUCAUUAAGCCAUGCUGAGUUCAUCCUUUCGAGGCUCUAUCGGUGUUUGGUCCUCUUCGCAUCUCCAGCCAGGUUAUUCCACACAAUUUUCUUUAUCUUUUUUGUUUUUUGGUUUAAAAUUUUCAUAUUUAUGGGAAAGUGUUAUGGUAGAAUCUUUGAAAUGGAUUACUGAGAAAAAUCAACAUUUGGUAGAUUGAAUUCUGACUCCCCCAACUAUCAAACAACAAAUGUGACCUGGGUAAAACUAUAAUGAAUAUAUGGGAUAAUCUUCUGAUGAAUUGGUAAUUCCAUUCUGAAUGUGUACUAAUGGAAAUGCCCCUUGCAUGCCUAAAAUGCAACAUGCAUGUUGAAAUUUCAUAAUUCUAUUGUUUUUAUUUAGAGGUCUGAAUGUCAUAUUGGGGCUUUCAAAUUACAAAAACACUCUGACUAUGGCGCUUCCAGAGUCCUAUCAUCUAGGUUAAUAAUUAUUAAAUAAGAUCCGACUUCGCACAAUGAGCGUGUGGCUUAAUUUGAUUAGUUUGUCAUCAUCGUCUAAAUAUUUUGGGUUGUUUGGUUAGAAACCUUUUUGAAGGAUGGGUGAUGCUAAUCUUUCUGAUUACAAUUGGCAAAGGGCUUCGUUGCUAGGCUAAUCGGUCGGUAUCUUAGCUUGGUAGGUAUAUGGGAGGUGUACGGAAUUGAAACAAAGCAUUGAAUAGGGCCUUUUUUUUUUUGUUCCUGUGAUUUUUGAAGUUUUAGGCAGAGCUGACGAAAAAGGAGUCUGAUUUCAUCGAGUUGCUUGAGGGCAACCUCCAAAAGUUCGAAAGGAUUUUUCGUAGAGAAAGUGGAAGCGUACACCAUCGUCACCGUCAUGCUGCAUUAAGUUUUGGGCUUUGGUACUGGUACCCAUGGUAUUGUUUAUCUUUAUUGCUAUAGGAACUAUAGAAAUUCUAAUGCUUUUCUUUGAAACAGAAGUUGGGUCGUCGAAAAUCACAUUCUCAUCAACCACAUAUAACUUGUUGUUUAAGUCCGUCUCAGAAGGCACAUAAUUACCAAUUUGUCCACAUGUAUGGUAGUUUGAUCAUGCAUUGUUGUUUCCACAUCUGAUAUGGCAGUAGUUUUCUUCUUUGCUUUAACUUUGUAAUUUCUUUGUUCCACAUCUGACAAUAUAAUUGUUGAAUUAGUCCAUAAAAAGAAAAAAAAGUUCGACCACAUAGUCAUUGAGACUACAGGUAGUGACUAUUUGCUAGAUACAUUGGACUUCUCCAGUUGGCGUUGUGCCAUAUGUGCUAUUUAUCAACUUUGCAGGAUUGGCAAAUCCGACACCUAUCAUUCAGACUUUUUAUGUAGAGGAUCAGAUUUUUAAUGAUGUUAAGCUACAUGGCGUAGUCACUUUGGUUGAUGCUAGACAUGGUAAUAUUCACCUGGAUGAUGUUAAGCCGAAAGGAGUGGUCAAUGAAGCAGCAGAGCAAAUUGCAUAUGCUGACUGUAUCGCAGUCAAUGAGGUACACAAUGUUUGUGCCUCUUAAAUAAAAAGGUUAAACUUUAGAAUUCAUGACUGACUUAGUCUAUGUAAACUGUGUUCUGAUUUUAUUUAACUCAGUGUCGUUUCUGUCAGUGCUUCGUCGAAGCUGAAACAUUAGGACCUCCGAAGACCAGUCUAGGGACCUUUGAAGACUGGUCCAUGCAUAGCUUAAUUUUUAGUUUGAAUUUGGAGCCCAUGGCUCACCUCAUCGAUUCAUUUCUGCUCCUAAAACCAACAUUCUACCAAGUUCAGUUUAGUAUUCUUCUGCUUGGUGGUACCUAAACUAUCAUAGGAAGAAAUUUGAGGUUUCGAUAAGUUCAAGCUACUGAAUGUAUUUUGUGUUGUCUAUGCUGUUGUAGUAUCUUGGUAUCGCUGUAUAUGCGAAGUUAUCUGUGUUAGAUAGUGUAUCGUAGUUGAAUAAAUCUUUGAGUUUCUGAUUUAUGUUUGCUGGUUUAAAACAUGGUUACUUUGGUCUUCCUUGUUGCUGCUAGACCGAUCUUGUUGGCGAGCCACAAGUUGCUUCUUUGAUUCAGCGAAUAAAGGUAUAUCAACGUCUUGCUUAUUUUUCAUAUCCGUAGAUUUUUAUACGCUUUGUUAAUUUUGCUUCCUAACUUUGAUGUGAAACUGGCUGAACACAGCAUAAAUGGUCUGGGUAAUUUGAAAUGAUCCCAGUUUGGAAAAGUUGAUUUGGAUUAUGUUCUUGGGAUUGGAGUCUUUGAUUUGGAAAGGUUAUACGACUUCCGAUAUUUGUCUCAAUUUGUUGAUUUAGGUUCAUAAGCCUUUGUCUUAUUGCAUUGGUGCAAAUUAAUGUCCUGUGUUAUUUAGAUGCUGCAAAGCUUUUUAAUUCCAGCUCAUUACGCCAUCUUUGCUCUUGGUUUACUUUUCAAGCUUAUAUUUCUAUGUUUUGAUGCACACUUGCAGAUUUAAAAGUGCUAUCAACGCUAAAGAUUCAAAGGAAGAUCAUAGAAAUAUAAACUCCUUCGAUACUCUGACAUCCUUUGCAAUAAUUUCCUUUGGCAAGAUCUGGCAGUAACAACCAAGUACGGUGAUUUGCAUCAGAAGCCACUCUGUGAACGGUUCAUGCUACUCAAAAAGAUGAUGACAUGCCUCCAAUUGAAGUCAUUCUUCCACCUGAUGCUGAACUUAAGCUUGCUUGGCUAGAGAUUACGAAGCUGCAGGAUGACAACAAGGCAUUAGAUCGUCACCAAGUCAAAAGAAGCUGCUUUGCUUGAAGCAGAGAGGACGGUUCAGGUUGCCUUACCAAAGGCUCCCUUGCUGGAUGAUCUGCAGAAUAAGAACCAAGAGUUGAUGAAGCAGAUGGACAUUUGUCAGGUAAAGCCGUCCAUCUCUUGCAAAGAUGCAAUAUACCUGGUAGAUGUAUCAUACAAUUUACUUGUUUUGGAUUCCUCAUUGUUUUGUGUAAGAUCUCAUCAUAGACUAACCAUUCCGCUAAAUGUGUAUACUUACAUGAAAAAAGGCUUCACUUUUAAACUUAAUUUGAUGAUAACAAGCUAGAUCGGAAUGGAAUGUCAAUUUACACUUAUUUCAA